AAAAAGACAAACCCUGGGUUUCCGUGUCCAACUUUAACUGUCCGUCUUAUAUGAAAUUUUUUUAUAAUUCGUAUUUUUAUUAUUGUUAGAUGAUAAACCAUAAUUAAUAUUUUAUGCAUGACUUGUUUUUUUAAUUUUUUUCAUAAUUUUUUUAAAUAAGACAGACGGUCAAACGUGACACGGAAAACAUGGUU
Molecule: microRNA precursor, 194 nt
Filed under: Oryza rufipogon (brownbeard rice)
Lineage: Eukaryota; Viridiplantae; Streptophyta; Magnoliopsida; Poales; Poaceae
Description: MIR812 microRNA precursor family
Rfam family: MIR812 microRNA precursor family
Source: Rfam by way of RNAcentral